RNAcentral lists this ribosomal RNA (275 nucleotides) under uncultured prokaryote. Its description in RNAcentral is "partial 16S ribosomal RNA". It matches the Rfam family "Bacterial small subunit ribosomal RNA", at positions 524 to 798 of the family's 1533-position model. The record is from RNAcentral.
UACGUAGGGGGCGAGCGUUAUCCGGAAUUAUUGGGCGUAAAGAGCGCGCAGGUGGUUGAUUAAGCCUGAUGUGAAAGCCCACGGCUUAACCGUGGAGGGUCAUUGGAAACUGGUCGACUUGAGUGCAGAAGAGGGAAGUGGAAUUCCUAGUGUAGCGGUGAAAUGCGUAGAUAUUAGGAGGAACACCAGUGGCGAAGGCGGCUUUCUGGACUGAUACUGACGCUGAGGAACGAAAGCGUGGGGAGCAAACAGGAUUAGAUACCCUGGUAGUCCCU